RNAcentral lists this transfer RNA (72 nucleotides) under Caudoviricetes sp. RNAcentral describes it as "tRNA-Trp". It matches the Rfam family "tRNA". From Rfam's summary of the family: Transfer RNA (tRNA) molecules are approximately 80 nucleotides in length. Lineage: Duplodnaviria; Heunggongvirae; Uroviricota; Caudoviricetes. The record is from RNAcentral.
UGAAGUAUAGCUCAGUGGUAGAGCAGUGGUCUCCAAAAUCACGUGCCGAGGGUUCGAUUCCUUCUGCUUCAG